CACGGGUGCUUGCACCUGGUGGCGAGUGGCGAACGGGUGAGUAAUACAUCGGAACAUGUCCUGUAGUGGGGGAUAGCCCGGCGAAAGCCGGAUUAAUACCGCAUACGAUCCACGGAUGAAAGCGGGGGACCUUCGGGCCUCGCGCUAUAGGGUUGGCCGAUGGCUGAUUAGCUAGUUGGUGGGGUAAAGGCCUACCAGGGGCCCAGGAAACCUAAAGGGAGAAGAGGACCAGCCACAUUGGGAGAAUGACGGGACUCUGACACCUACGUUUCUUUACGGAAUUCGGUUGCGUUCUAAUCGGUGGCGGAAACUAAAAAUUCGCUGGUUGAAGGUUUAAAUGGUUUUGAUUGGAAAACGCUAAAAUGGAGAGUUUUCUAGAAUUUUUGGAGGCUGGCCUUCGGGGGGGGGGAAUCAAGUAAAGGCCCGGGAAAAGGUUGCCGGAAGAAUCUUCCAGGGAAAGGGGGGCCGGCCAAGGAAACGAAUAAGGGAAAACAAAAUGGGGCGGAAAGGCGGGGCAAAUUUGAUAACCCUGAAGGGAACUUGAGUCCCAAUGAGGGGGGGCAGGCUUCCGGCUGGCGGGUCAUGAUCCUUCGGAAGGUCAACUAACGAAAACAUGUACGACUUU
Molecule: ribosomal RNA, 625 nt
Filed under: Burkholderia cepacia
Lineage: Bacteria; Pseudomonadati; Pseudomonadota; Betaproteobacteria; Burkholderiales; Burkholderiaceae
Description: partial 16S ribosomal RNA
Rfam family: Bacterial small subunit ribosomal RNA (bases 1-307)
Source: RNAcentral